UACGAAGGGGGCUAGCGUUGUUCGGAAUUACUGGGCGUAAAGCGCACGUAGGCGGAUAUUUAAGUCAGGGGUGAAAUCCCGAGGCUCAACCUCGGAACUGCCUUUGAUACUGGGUAUCUAGAGUCCGGAAGAGGUGAGUGGAAUUCCGAGUGUAGAGGUGAAAUUCGUAGAUAUUCGGAGGAACACCAGUGGCGAAGGCGGCUCACUGGUCCGGUACUGACGCUGAGGUGCGAAAGCGUGGGGAGCAAACAGG
This 253-nucleotide ribosomal RNA is filed under the name uncultured bacterium. RNAcentral describes it as "partial 16S ribosomal RNA". It matches the Rfam family "Bacterial small subunit ribosomal RNA", at positions 524 to 776 of the family's 1533-position model. The record is from RNAcentral.